This 301-nucleotide ribosomal RNA is filed under the name uncultured bacterium. Its description in RNAcentral is "partial 16S ribosomal RNA". It matches the Rfam family "Bacterial small subunit ribosomal RNA", at positions 509 to 807 of the family's 1533-position model. The record is from RNAcentral.
CAGCAGCCGCGGGAAAACGGAGGGUGCAAGCGUUAAUCGGAAUUACUGGGCGUAAAGCGUGCGUAGGCGGUUCGUUAAGUCUGCUGUGAAAGCCCCGGGCUCAACCUGGGAAUGGCAAUGGAUACUGGCGAGCUAGAGUGUGUCAGAGGAUGGUGGAAUUCCCGGUGUAGCGGUGAAAUGCGUAGAGAUCGGGAGGAACAUCAGUGGCGAAGGCGGCCAUCUGGGACAACACUGACGCUGAGGCACGAAAGCGUGGGGAGCAAACAGGAUUAGAUACCCGCGUAGUCCCUGUCUCUUAUAC